CCUACGGGUGGCAGCAGUGAGGAAUAUUGGUCAAUGGUCGGGAGACUGAACCAGCCAAGCCGCGUGAGGGAUGAAGGUACAGAGUAUCGUAAACCUCUUUUGUCAGGGAACAAAGGCGGGGACGUGUCCCCGGAUGAGUGUACCUGAAGAAAAAGCAUCGGCUAACUCCGUGCCAGCAGCCGCGGUAAUACGGAGGAUGCGAGCGUUAUCCGGUUUUAGUGGGUUUAAGGGGUGCGCAGGCGGUCUGUUAGGUCAGCGGUCAAAGCCCGGGGCUCAACCCCGCCCCGCCGUUGAAACUGGCAGUCUCGAGUUGGAAAGAAGUAUGCGGAAUGCGCGGUGUAGCGGUGAAAGGCAUAGAUAUCGCGCAGAACUCCGAUUGCGAAGGCAGCAGGCCGGCUCCACACUGACGCUGAGGCACGAAAGCGUGGGUAUCGAACAGGAUUAGAUACCCUGGUAGUC
Molecule: ribosomal RNA, 459 nt
Filed under: uncultured bacterium
Lineage: Bacteria
Description: partial 16S ribosomal RNA
Rfam family: Bacterial small subunit ribosomal RNA
Source: RNAcentral